Molecule: ribosomal RNA, 474 nt
Filed under: uncultured archaeon
Lineage: Archaea
Description: bacterial SSU rRNA
Rfam family: Archaeal small subunit ribosomal RNA
Source: RNAcentral
GUGUGAUAAGGGAACCCUGAGUGCUUAGUUUAACUAGGCUUUUGCCAAGUGUAAAUAGCUUGGCGAAUAAGUGGUGGGUAAGACUGGUGCCAGCCGCCGCGGUAACACCAGCGCCACGAGUGGGAAUCGUUUUUAUUGGGCCUAAAGCGUCCGUAGCCUGUUUAGUAAAUCUUUUGUGGAAUUAUUGGGCUUAACUCAAUAACGUGCAGAAGACACUGCUAAACUUGAAACCGGGAGAAGUCAGAAGUAUUUGAAGGGGAGCGGUAAAAUGCUAUAAUCCUUUGAGGACUACCAGUGGCGAAAGCGUCUGACUAGAACGGAUUUGACGGUGAGGGACGAAAGCUAGGGGAGCGAUCCGGAUUAGAUACCCGAGUAGUCCUAGCUGUAAACGCUGCGAGCAAGGUGUUGCGUAUUCUACGAGAAUACGCAGUGUCGAAGAGAAGUCGUUUAGCUCGCCGCCUGGGAAGUACGGUC